This 206-nucleotide long non-coding RNA is filed under the name Helianthus annuus (common sunflower). RNAcentral's name for it is "sRNA HanXRQr2_Chr17g0816601". Lineage: Eukaryota; Viridiplantae; Streptophyta; Magnoliopsida; Asterales; Asteraceae. The record is from RNAcentral.
GGUGAUUCCAAGAAGGUUCAAGUUCCAUAUCAUCAUACUUUGUCAGAAACCCACCAAAAUCUUGAAGAUGAAUGAUGAUGGAAUGAUAUGCGUGCCCUAGUUUGGGGUACAUGAGUUCGGCUUCAGGGAUUUUGGCUUGUGUUGUCUUGUGGUUGUGUGAUGUGAUUGUAACUAAAUAAUAUUUGGACACUUUUAGACUACUUUUG